Long non-coding RNA from Protopterus annectens (West African lungfish), 314 nucleotides. RefSeq lists it as uncharacterized. The record is from RefSeq and is a predicted model, not a curated record. The transcript has 3 exons. Lineage: Eukaryota; Metazoa; Chordata; Ceratodontiformes; Protopteridae.
GUUCCCCAAUCAGACCAAAUAAAUAUCACAUAAGAAUGCAGUAAGCUAUUGCCCGAUCGAGUUCACAGAAAGUUACUCUUCUUCAGGAAUCCAGUAUGAUGAAGAUGUUCUUCCUCCUCCUCCACCUCGGACUGUUUGCUGUUGCUCAUUGCUCUCCUUCAGCUUUAGAAGAUCAGCUGCAGUUUAACUUGGAUGACAACGUGGGAGAACGUGUUGCACCAGGCAAAGAUGAGGAAGAAAUGAAGAUGCCAAUUCAGUUUCAAAUUAAUGGAGAAUCAUAUUUCUACCAUGAUAAAGGGUUAUCUUUUUAUAAU